GAGACCCUGAGAUCCUGGUGUGACCAAGCUCCUGUUAUCCUGGGAUCCUGGAAUCCUAAGAUCCAUGUUACAGCUCCAGGAAGUGGUGUCUCCUCUGAGGACCGUGGAGCUGUCUGGUCUGUUCAAAACCAAGCUCAAAGAACACUGCACAGGAAGGGCAGAAAGAACUGGGAGCCCACGACAAGGAGAACAGCUGUGAAAAGCCAUCUUCUACGAAGUCAAGCCACUGCAAGCAUGAGCCCACAUUAGCCGCAGUUACUAGCAUGCGGCCAUACAAGAACUGCCCUGUCAGCAGGUCAUUUAUGGAUGGAGGAGUCGCUCGUGAGGCCCUACUGUUGCAUUAUUGGCUACUGGCAGAUGCUGAGCAGUUGUAGACCUACAGGAAGUAGCCGAUUUCCUCUAAUGAAAAGAAGUAAUGGGUGCCUUUUCAACCCUGUGCUCUACCCGAUUCUGAUUUCUUAUCAGCUGAACUAGUGGUCACUAAGAUGAACUUGAAAGUAAAGUAUUCCAGAUCCAUGCACCUCUCAGCCUUCACCCUCAGAAGCUUCUGUGUGCAAGAGAUGGUGGUUAACCCAGUGAUCGGUAACUGGCCAAGGAGAUGAGAAGAGUGGAUUACAGAAUUUCAGCCCUACAGGGAAGAUAUGUACUGCACCCUGUUUCCCAUGGCUCAGGGAUCAUUGUAGAGGAGGGGGAAGAAAGAGUGUAAUCACUGGAGGAAGUGGAAAACUGAAAGGAAGUGUUUGCUUGACACAGCAGGGCAGCUGCACUUCGGAAUUUACAGUGGGUUUCAGUAGCAGCUUACAAAACCUGUGCAAGCCCAUGCCAGACCAAAUCCUAGCAAGGAGAGAAAACUUAGGCACACACCACCACACCAGAUCACUAAGCUACUGGCAAUUAUUAGCUGCUGGGAGGAGAAAUCAUUUUUUCCCUAAAAGUGUAGCCUCGAGUGAACUGACCACUCUCCAAUGCAAGGCCGUACGUCCAAGAAUAUUUGGGCAGCACAAAUUGGUCUUGAAAAAUUCACAAAAAUGAAAGUCAAAAUGGUGGGUAGGUAGAGAGUGGGGAAAUGAUCCGAGAAGUGUUGAGGGAAAAGAGUGAAUAUGAUCAAAACUCUAAAAAAAAGAGAAAAAAAACUAAGAAAAAAUAGUAAAAUAAAUUUAAAACAAAAGAAUAAAAGAAAGAGGUUCAAUCUUGAAAGAUUAAUUUUAAGUGUAUUUGGAAUCAUUUUUAACUCAAUGACAUGGCUCAUCAAUAUGUACUGUGCAAAAUGUAAUAGAAAUGUUGCUAACAUGUAAUUUUCAGAUUUUUAUUCUUUUCCUAAACAUACACUCAUUCAUGACUAUUAGAAGCAAUACAAAGGAUUCGAACAAUUUUAACAGCAACAUUUCUUAAUUUUAUUAUGGUACAGUUCUGACAUGCUAAAUUUCAAAUAGGUAAUUCUUAAAAGGCCAAGGAUCGGUCCCAAAAAUAACAAAGUUGAAGCUGUAGCACCUAAGAAUAAUUAAACACAUACCACCCAUGUUUAAUGGCUGGAAAAAGAAAACCAAUGGUAUUUUCUAUGAUAAACCUAGAUGGAAAGAGAUUAGUGACACCGAGAAUUGGAGGUGCUGAUUUGCAGCUAAACUGUUUCACAUUUCAUUUAAGCCUGCACUUUCUCAGCAUGCAAACUGGACUAAUCCAUUUUUCCAAUAUCCUUUUGGGCCCCCCAAAAGGAAUUCUUUACCCCAAUUCAUCAAUAAACACUUAUAAGAGGACUGUUGUCUCAUUCCCUUAAGUUGUGUUAAUGGUUUGGUCACUUUAUAAGUUAUAGAUAUGUUGUCAUUUUAGGGAAUGAUUACAAAUAAUGAUGCUCAUGGACAGAGAAAAAACAAA
This is a long non-coding RNA of Mus musculus (house mouse), 1872 nucleotides long. RefSeq annotates it as predicted gene, 51623. The transcript is spliced from 4 exons. Lineage: Eukaryota; Metazoa; Chordata; Mammalia; Rodentia; Muridae. The record is from RefSeq and is a predicted model, not a curated record.